Molecule: non-coding RNA, 862 nt
Organism: Phyllopteryx taeniolatus (common seadragon)
Lineage: Eukaryota; Metazoa; Chordata; Actinopteri; Syngnathiformes; Syngnathidae
Source: the annotation of a RefSeq genome assembly
GUGGUGUGAUGAGAUCCGAAGACCACAUGGUGAUUGCUGAAGGAAACUUGGAAACCUUAUGUGACUUGGCUAGCAGUGACAUGGGCCUGCCUGUGUCAUAGAAAAAGCCUGCUUCUCCUCCACACCGGCUUAUCAGCCAGUAUUCCGAAGACGAAGUAGAAGCAGAUGUGAUGAAGAUGACAUUCAGGCGAGAGGGAAGAACCACUGUGCGGUGCUGCGAUGACGGAGGACAUGUCUGACAAGGAGCACGUUGAUGUCAUUGCAACAGGAAGCGAAGGCCGCACCUCCACAGCCACAAGUCAGCAUUCACGCAGACUGCCAGUGCAGACAUGAAUCGUGUGCUCGUGUGCGUGCUGACGGCUGCUUUGAGUCUCGGAAACGGUCAGCAAACAGUGCACCAGCCGGCGGGCGAUGUCUACGCUGUGGAGGGCGCAAGGGUGACGCUGGACUGCAGCUACGACAGCACACAGAGCGACGACUGUAUCUUCUGGUACAAACAGCAAGUGAACGCAGCACCCGAGUUUGUUCUGAGCAUCUCAAAGAUCGGUCAGGGCAAGACGGAGAAGAAGUACGCCGACAGGUUUCGCUCCAGCAUGGACGCCAGCGCCACGCAAGCUCCUCUGCAUAUCGAGAGCGUGAAGCUGAGCGACUCGGCACUCUACUACUGUGCCCUGCGGCCCACGCUGACACAUCCGCUGGCGUGCCUGCACAAAAACACCUGCACCCGUCUCGUGCCACGUCACAUUGGGGGUGUGGAGCGAACGGCUUGAUUUUGAAUGGUUGUUAACAAUUUUCUCUUUGGUGUGUUGAAUUUGAAAGAAAUAUUUUGUUUAUAUGUUGCCAAUAAAAGAAAUGAGAUCCA